CAGGGAGACAACAAAAUGUUAAAUAUUAAUUUUGUCACCUUAGGUCGAUCGGUAUCUCAGGUUCUUAAUUACUUUAAGAAUUUCAUUUCCUAAGUUUUUUCUAGGUCACACCCAUUACUUUCCCUGGGCCAUUAGCUCAGGUGGUUAGGGCGCACCCCUGAUAAGGGUGAGGUCCCUGGUUCAAGUCCAGGAUGGCCCAUAUCUCUAUGUUGGGGGUAUAGCUCAGUUGGUAGAGCGCCUGCUUUGCAAGCAGGAUGUCAGCGGUUCGAGUCCGCUUACCUCCACUGAUUACCACCUCUUCCAUAAAUUUAAAGAAGGGAAUAGUUAUGAGCGUUGAUUUACAUCUGAACGAAUCUAGCUUCCUAAUAAAUACAUUAAGAUGCUGGACUCAUUGAAUUUUAUUCAUUGUUUUCAGAGAACCUUGACAACUGCAUAGAUUAUUUUUAAAGACAAUAAGCAUCUUUAAUGAUGCAGAUUUAUUAUUUUUGCUAAUGCAUUAAUAACAAUUCUAUUGAGCUGAUGCUUCAAUUUUUUGAAGUUAUU
This 543-nucleotide transfer RNA is filed under the name uncultured Prochlorococcus sp. Its description in RNAcentral is "partial 16S-23S ribosomal RNA intergenic spacer". The stretch from base 212 to 284 matches the Rfam family "tRNA". The record is from RNAcentral. Lineage: Bacteria; Bacillati; Cyanobacteriota; Cyanophyceae; Synechococcales; Prochlorococcaceae.